UAUGAACCGUUAUAACCGGCGAUUUCCGAAUGGGGAAACCCAGUGUGUUUCGACACACUAUCAUUAACUGAAUCCAUAGGUUAAUGAGGCGAACCGGGGGAACUGAAACAUCUAAGUACCCCGAGGAAAAGAAAUCAACCGAGAUUCCCCCAGUAGCGGCGAGCGAACGGGGAGGAGCCCAGAGCCUGAAUCAGUGUGUGUGUUAGUGGAAGCGUCUGGAAAGGCGCGCGAUACAGGGUGACAGCCCCGUACACAAAAAUGCACAUGCUGUGAGCUCGAUGAGUAGGACGGGACACGUGGUAUCCUGUCUGAAUAUGGGGGGACCAUCCUCCAAGGCUAAAUACUCCUGACUGACCGAUAGUGAACCAGUACCGUGAGGGAAAGGCGAAAAGAACCCCGGCGAGGGGAGUGAAAAAGAACCUGAAACCGUGUACGUACAAGCAGUGGGAGCACGCUUAGGCGUGUGACUGCGUACCUUUUGUAUAAUGGGUCAGCGACUUAUAUUCUGUAGCAAGGUUAACCGAAUAGGGGAGCCGAAGGGAAACCGAGUCUUAACUGGGCGUUAAGUUGCAGGGUAUAGACCCGAAACCCGGUGAUCUAGCCAUG
Molecule: ribosomal RNA, 606 nt
Filed under: Escherichia coli
Lineage: Bacteria; Pseudomonadati; Pseudomonadota; Gammaproteobacteria; Enterobacterales; Enterobacteriaceae
Description: partial 23S ribosomal RNA
Rfam family: Bacterial large subunit ribosomal RNA
Source: RNAcentral